GAUGAACGCUGGCGGCGUGCCUAAUACAUGCAAGUCGAGCGAACGGACGAGAAGCUUGCUUCUCUGAUGUUAGCGGCGGACGGGUGAGUAACACGUGGAUAACCUACCUAUAAGACUGGGAUAACUUCGGGAAACCGGAGCUAAUACCGGAUAAUAUUUUGAACCGCAUGGUUCAAAAGUGAAAGACGGUCUUGCUGUCACUUAUAGAUGGAUCCGCGCUGCAUUAGCUAGUUGGUAAGGUAACGGCUUACCAAGGCAACGAUGCAUAGCCGACCUGAGAGGGUGAUCGGCCACACUGGAACUGAGACACGGUCCAGACUCCUACGGGAGGCAGCAGUAGGGAAUCUUCCGCAAUGGGCGAAAGCCUGACGGAGCAACGCCGCGUGAGUGAUGAAGGUCUUCGGAUCGCAAAACUCUGUUAUUAGGGAAGAACAUAUGUGUAAGUAACUGUGCACAUCUUGACGGUACCUAAUCAGAAAGCCACGGCUAACUACGUGCCAGCAGCCGCGGUAAUACGUAGGUGGCAAGCGUUAUCCGGAAUUAUUGGGCGUAAAGCGCGCGUAGGCGGUUUUUUAAGUCUGAUGUGAAAGCCCACGGGCUCAACCCGGGGAGGGUCAUUGGAAACUGGAAAACUUGAGUGCAGAAGAGGAAAGUGGAAUUCCAUGUGUAGCGGUGAAAUGCGCAGAGAUAUGGAGGAACACCAGUGGCGAAGGCGACUUUCUGGUCUGUAACUGACGCUGAUGUGCGAAAGCGUGGGGAUCAAACAGGAUUAGAUACCCUGGUAGUCCACGCCGUAAACGAUGAGUGCUAAGUGUUAGGGGGUUUCCGCCCCUUAGUGCUGCAGCUAACGCAUUAAGCACUCCGCCUGGGGAGUACGACCGCAAGGUUGAAACUCAAAGGAAUUGACGGGGACCCGCACAAGCGGUGGAGCAUGUGGUUUAAUUCGAAGCAACGCGAAGAACCUUACCAAAUCUUGACAUCCUUUGACAACUCUAGAGAUAGAGCUUUCCCCUUCGGGGGACAAAGUGACAGGUGGUGCAUGGUUGUCGUCAGCUCGUGUCGUGAGAUGUUGGGUUAAGUCCCGCAACGAGCGCAACCCUUAAGCUUAGUUGCCAUCAUUAAGUUGGGCACUCUAAGUUGACUGCCGGUGACAAACCGGAGGAAGGUGGGGAUGACGUCAAAUCAUCAUGCCCCUUAUGAUUUGGGCUACACACGUGCUACAAUGGACAAUACAAAGGGCAGCGAAACCGCGAGGUCAAGCAAAUCCCAUAAAGUUGUUCUCAGUUCGGAUUGUAGUCUGCAACUCGACUACAUGAAGCUGGAAUCGCUAGUAAUCGUAGAUCAGCAUGCUACGGUGAAUACGUUCCCGGGUCU
This 1374-nucleotide ribosomal RNA is filed under the name uncultured bacterium. Its description in RNAcentral is "bacterial SSU rRNA". It matches the Rfam family "Bacterial small subunit ribosomal RNA", at positions 28 to 1381 of the family's 1533-position model. The record is from RNAcentral.